UACGAAGGGGGCUAGCGUUGCUCGGAAUCACUGGGCGUAAAGCGCACGUAGGCGGCUUGUUAAGUCAGGGGUGAAAUCCUGGAGCUCAACUCCAGAACUGCCUUUGAUACUGGCGAGCUUGAGUUCGGGAGAGGUGAGUGGAACUGCGAGUGUAGAGGUGAAAUUCGUAGAUAUUCGCAAGAACACCAGUGGCGAAGGCGGCUCUCUGGAACGGUACUGACGCUGAGACGCGAAAGCGUGGGGAGCGAACAGG
RNAcentral lists this ribosomal RNA (253 nucleotides) under uncultured bacterium. Its description in RNAcentral is "partial 16S ribosomal RNA". It matches the Rfam family "Bacterial small subunit ribosomal RNA", at positions 524 to 776 of the family's 1533-position model. The record is from RNAcentral.